CAAUAGCGUAUAUUAAAGUUGUUGCAGUUAAAAAGCUCGUAGUUGGAUUUGUGGCGUACGGUGUGUUCCGGGCACUUGUUGUCUGAGUAACCUGCUGUUGCCAUCCUUGGGUGGAACCUGUGUGGCAUUAGGUUGUCGUGCAGGGGAUGCCAAUCAUUUACUGUGAAAAAAUUAGAGUGUUCAAAGCAGGCUUAUGCCGUUGAAUAUAUUAGCAUGGAAUAAUGAGAUAGGACUUUUUUGCUAUUUUGUUGGUUUGCGCAAAGAGGUAAUGAUUAAUAGGGACAGUUGGGGGUAUUCGUAUUCCAUUGUCAGAGGUGAAAUUCUUGGAUUUUUGGAAGACGAACUACUGCGAAAGCAUUUACCAAGGAUGUUUUCAUUAA
RNAcentral lists this ribosomal RNA (380 nucleotides) under uncultured eukaryote. RNAcentral describes it as "partial 18S ribosomal RNA". It matches the Rfam family "Eukaryotic small subunit ribosomal RNA", at positions 592 to 976 of the family's 1831-position model. The record is from RNAcentral.